This 497-nucleotide ribosomal RNA is filed under the name uncultured bacterium. Its description in RNAcentral is "partial 16S ribosomal RNA". It matches the Rfam family "Bacterial small subunit ribosomal RNA", at positions 28 to 507 of the family's 1533-position model. The record is from RNAcentral.
GAUGAACGCUGGCGGCGUGCCUAAUACAUGCAAGUCGAGCGAACGGACGAGAAGCUUGCUUCUCUGAUGUUAGCGGCGGACGGGUGAGUAACACGUGGAUAACCUACCUAUAAGACUGGGAUAACUUCGGGAAACCGUAGCUAAUACCGGAUAAUAUUUUGAACCGCAUGGUUCAAAAGUGAAAGACGGUCUUGCUGUCACUUAUAGAUGGAUCCGCGCUGCAUUAGCUAGUUGGUAAGGUAACGGCUUACCAAGGCAACGAUGCAUAGCCGACCUGAGAGGGUGAUCGGCCACACUGGAACUGAGACACGGUCCAGACUCCUACGGGAGGCAGCAGUAGGGAAUAUUCCGCAAAGGGCGAAAGCCUGACGGAGCAACGCCGCGUGAGUGAUGAAGGUCUUCGGAUCGUAAAACUCUGUUAUUAGGGAAGAACAGAUGUGUAAGUAACUGUGCACAUCUUGACGGUACCUAAUCAGAAAGCCACGGCUAACUACGUG